GAUGAACGCUAGCGGCAGGCUUAAUACAUGCAAGUCAAGGGGGUAGCAAUACAACCGGCGCACGGGUGAGUAACGCGUACACAACAUACCAUAUACUGGGGUAUAGCUUUGGGAAACUGAAGGUAAUCCCCCAUAACAUUGCGAGAGGGCAUCUGAUUGCAAUUAAAGUUUCGGCGGUAUAUGAUUGGUGUGCGUUUGAUUAGCUAGUUGGUAGGGUAACGGCCUACCAAGGCGACGGUCAAUAGCUGGCGUGAGAGCGCGACCAGCCACACUGGAACUGAGACACGGUCCAGACUCCUACGGGAGGCAGCAGUAGGGAAUAUUGGACAAUGGAGGAAACUCUGAUCCAGCCAUGCCGCGUGAUAGAUGAAGGCCCUCUGGGUUGUAAAUAUCUUUUAUCUUGGGAAGAAACAAUCUUAUUCUUAAGAUCUUGACGGUACCAGAGGAAUAAGCACCGGCUAAACUCCGUGCCAGCAGCCGCGGUAAU
Molecule: ribosomal RNA, 487 nt
Filed under: uncultured bacterium
Lineage: Bacteria
Description: bacterial SSU rRNA
Rfam family: Bacterial small subunit ribosomal RNA
Source: RNAcentral